This 215-nucleotide small RNA is filed under the name Pan troglodytes (chimpanzee). RNAcentral describes it as "ENSPTRG00000015629 circular RNA". Lineage: Eukaryota; Metazoa; Chordata; Mammalia; Primates; Hominidae. The record is from RNAcentral. RNAcentral also lists the same sequence under 2 other names.
GAAGCCAGUUGAGGGAAGUUCUCCAUGAAUGUACGUCACAAUGAUGAUGACCGACCAAAUCCCUCUGGAACUGCCACCAUUGCUGAACGGAGAGGUAGCCAUGAUGCCCCACUUGGUGAAUGGAGAUGCAGCUCAGCAGGUUAUUCUCGUUCAAGUUAAUCCAGGUGAGACUUUCACAAUAAGAGCAGAGGAUGGAACACUUCAGUGCAUUCAAG